RNAcentral lists this transfer RNA (32 nucleotides) under Dicranum scoparium. Its description in RNAcentral is "partial tRNA-Phe". RNAcentral also lists the same sequence under 30 other names. The record is from RNAcentral. Lineage: Eukaryota; Viridiplantae; Streptophyta; Bryopsida; Dicranales; Dicranaceae.
GCCGGAAUAGCUCAGUUGGUAGAGCAGAGGAC